Molecule: long non-coding RNA, 328 nt
Organism: Salvia splendens (bonfire salvia)
Lineage: Eukaryota; Viridiplantae; Streptophyta; Magnoliopsida; Lamiales; Lamiaceae
Exons: 3
Source: RefSeq, a predicted model, not a curated record
ACUAUAUCAAUUUAAUCAUAAUAUUCUUGUUGAUACUUCUCUCCAAAAUCGACCCUUUAAAAGAAGUUCACUUGUUGAUUGAUUCACUCUCUCCACCUUUCCUUGAGAUAGCCUCUUUCCCUCCCUCAAAAAGUUCAUUGGCUUGCAUCAUGAAAUUCAAAUAUAUGAUACAAUAUCUACUAGCAUUGGAAUUUUUAUUGUUACUCACUUUAAAUCCACUCCAUUUCAUGGCCCGAGGAAGACAGAUAUCGAAACAGUCCGAUUUCACAAUCAGAAUUAAUGAAGAAAAGGUGAUGAAAAUGGGAGUGAUAGGAUCAAAGCCUCCAAG